Colius striatus (speckled mousebird) is the source of this 817-nucleotide long non-coding RNA. RefSeq lists it as uncharacterized. Lineage: Eukaryota; Metazoa; Chordata; Aves; Coliiformes; Coliidae. The transcript has 6 exons. The record is from RefSeq and is a predicted model, not a curated record.
AGACGUGCCCCAGCAUAUCCCAGAUACAGUGACACAAACACCUGGAUAUCUGAUGAUUCUGCCUCUCCACGUUGUAAAUGCAACAAACUAGUUUGGUCAAAUAGUAGAUCAGCAGAAGAACCAAUAUACAAUUCUUGCUGAAGGAAUUAAUGGGUAUUUUAAGGAACCUGAUAAUAAGAUUGCUGUUAAAAAUGUGGAGAAGCUGGCAUUUCAUGGUUUAUGUCAGAAAACAGUUGUUCACAGGGCUCAGGUGCUAGAUAUUUCCCCAAAAGAGAAGGAAAAUAUGUUCUGUAGUGUCAAAAUUAACUAUAUAGAUGAAGGCAGAACAUGUCAAGUCCAAAGUUACCAGCUGCUUCCCUCACCUGCCAAGUUUCAGUGUCUGCCACCUCAGGCUGGGGACUUUGUAGAGUGACACCCAUUGGUAAUGAACUGGAGUGGAACCCAAAGGUAACUAAUUCUAUUCAUCAAACACUUAAAGGAGAACUACACAAAGUAAAAGUAGUACUGCCCUUGGGAAACACAACUGGGAUUGACCCAAUUGGAGUUAACUACGAGUUCCUUACGACACUAUUAUGAUGAAAAAGAUGGCAAUAUCUGGAGAAGAAUUAAACAUGGGAACGUGCCUGUUGGGACAUUGGGAGAAAACCAAUUACUUACAGGUCUGGGUUACCAGGCUUCCAGACUUGAAGAUGUCAGUUAACGAAUACGACGUUCAAUCUGAGGUUUUGCCUACAGGUCUGGGAACUGACAAUGCAGAACAUAGAACACAACUUCAGAAGCUGUGCAGCCACAUGAACAUAUUGGACAUGCAGCAAAC